AAACGCCAAACAAGCAUGCCCGAUUUGAAAAUUAAUUAAUAAAAACAUUAAUUUUCAGCCAUCAUACAAGCACCAUUGCACCUAGAUAUUAAUUUAAGACAAAAAAGAAAAGAAAAGAAAAACACCAUUAAUUAUACUACUAUAUACUAAAUGAAGUUCUCCUUAAGCGUGAUGCUGGAAAAUGAAGGCUUUUACGUGAGCUUCUUGAUCAACAGUACGUAGUAGUAGUAGUAGUAGUAGUAUCUUCUUCGAAUAUGGUUUCGAGGAUUUUGGGUGUUUGGUUUCUGGAAAAUAUGGGGAGCUGAUCAUGGCGGUGCCGAGGCGGUGCAACGGCUGAGAAAGGAGUCCGAGGUGAGGUCUCGGAGAGUUCUAUCAGAAUACUAUUAGUGCUAGGGCCAUGGAGGAAGACUUUGUUUGUACUUGACAACUUCAUUAGUACAGGAGCCAACCGAGCUGCCAUAUUUUUUUUCUUUUUGAUGAAUAAAUAUGUAGGUAGCUAGGUUAAUUUGCUUUGGUAAUGGGGGAAGGAGAGAUUU
This 536-nucleotide long non-coding RNA is filed under the name Panax ginseng (ginseng). Its description in RNAcentral is "long non-coding RNA (PGIN_LNC008161)". The record is from RNAcentral. Lineage: Eukaryota; Viridiplantae; Streptophyta; Magnoliopsida; Apiales; Araliaceae.